This 1521-nucleotide ribosomal RNA is filed under the name metagenome. RNAcentral describes it as "bacterial SSU rRNA". It matches the Rfam family "Bacterial small subunit ribosomal RNA". The record is from RNAcentral.
AGGGUUUGAUCCUGGCUCAGAACGAACGUUGGCGGCGUGGAUUAGGCAUGCAAGUCGCGCGAGAAAGUCCCCUUCGGGGGGCGAGUAAAGCGGCGAAAGGGUGAGUAAUGCUUGGAUAACCUACCCUCGAGUGUGGGAUAACAACUGGAAACGGUUGCUAAUACCGCAUGAUACCCGGUAGCGCAUGCUGCCGGGUCAAAGCUGGGAGCUUGCUCCUAGCGCCCGAGGAGGGGUCCAAGUCCUAUCAGCUUGUUGGGGGGGUAACGGCCCACCAAGGCUAUGACGGGUACGAGGCCUGAGAGGGUGCUCUCACACACUGGGACUGAGACACUGCCCAGACUCCUACGGGAGGCUGCAGUCGAGAAUCUUCGGCAAUGGGCGAAAGCCUGACCGAGCGACGCCGCGUGGAGGAAUAAGGCCUUCGGGUUGUAAACUCCUGUCAGAUGUUAAGAAAUGCCCGGGCGCUAAUACCCCCCGGGCUUGACGAAGGCAUCAGAGGAAGCUCCGGCUAACUACGUGCCAGCAGCCGCGGUAAGACGUAGGGAGCGAACGUUGUUCGGAAUCACUGGGCAUAAAGGGUGCGUAGGCGGUCUGGAAAGUGGGGUGUGAAAUCCCUCGGCUUAACCGGGGAACUGUGCCCCAAACUAUCAGACUUGAGGGGAGAAGAGGAGAGUGGAACUCUUGGUGUAGCGGUGAAAUGCGUAGAUAUCAAGAGGAACGCCGGCGGCGAAAGCAACUCUCUGGGCUCCUCCUGACGCUGAGGCACGAAAGCUAGGGGAGCAAACGGGAUUAGAUACCCCGGUAGUCCUAGCCGUAAACGAUGGGUACUAGAUAGGGGGGGUUCCGAUGCCGUCCCUGUCGAAGCUAAUGUGAUAAGUACCCCGCCUGGGGAGUACGGCCGCAAGGCUAAAACUCAAAGGAAUUGACGGGGGCUCGCACAAGCGGUGGAGUAUGUGGUUUAAUUCGAAACAACGCGAAGAACCUUACCUGGGCUUGACAUGCAGGCAGUAACAACCUGAAAGGGAAGUGAACGGUAUCCAGUCCGGAACCUGCACAGGUGCUGCAUGGCUGUCGUCAGCUCGUGUCGUGAGAUGUUGGGUUAAGUCCCGUAACGAGCGAAACCCUUGUCCUCAGUUGCCAGCGGGUAAUGCCGGGGACUCUGGGGAGACUGCCGGUGUUAAACCGGAGGAAGGUGGGGAUGACGUCAAGUCCUCAUGGCCCUUAUGCCCAGGGCGACACACGUACUACAAUGGCCGGUACAAAGAGAAGCAAGACCGCGAGGUGGAGCAAACCUCUAAAAGCCGGCCCCAGUUCGGAUCGCAGGCUGAAAUUCGCCUGCGUGAAGGAGGAAUCGCUAGUAAUCGCGGAUCAGCCAUGCCGCGGUGAAUGUGUUCCCGAGCCUUGUACACACCGCCCGUCAAGCCACGGAAGCUGGGAGCACCCUAAGUCCGUGUUCUAACCCGCAAGGGAAGAAGCGGCCCAAGGUGAGACUAGUGACUGGGACUAAGUCGGAACAAGGUA